UUAAGCGACUAAGCGUACACGGUGGAUGCCCUGGCAGUCAGAGGCGAUGAAGGACGUGCUAAUCUGCGAUAAGCGUCGGUGAGGUGAUAUGAACCGUUAUAACCGGCGAUUUCCGAAUGGGGAAACCCAGUGUGAUUCGUCACACUAUCAUUAACUGAAUCCAUAGGUUAAUGAGGCGAACCGGGGGAACUGAAACAUCUAAGUACCCCGAGGAAAAGAAAUCAACCGAGAUUCCCCCAGUAGCGGCGAGCGAACGGGGAGGAGCCCAGAGCCUGAAUCAGUGUGUGUGUUAGUGGAAGCGUCUGGAAAGGCGUGCGAUACAGGGUGACAGCCCCGUACACAAAAAUGCACAUAUUGUGAGCUCGAUGAGUAGGGCGGGACACGUGGUAUCCUGUCUGAAUAUGGGGGGACCAUCCUCCAAGGCUAAAUACUCCUGACUGACCGAUAGUGAACCAGUACCGUGAGGGAAAGGCGAAAAGAACCCCGGCGAGGGGAGUGAAAAAGAACCUGAAACCGUGUACGUACAAGCAGUGGGAGCCUCUUAAUGGGGUGACUGCGUACCUUUUGUAUAAUGGGUCAGCGACUUAUAUUCUGUAGCAAGGUUAACCGAAUAGGGGAGCCGAAGGGAAACCGAGUCUUAACUGGGCGUUAAGUUGCAGGGUAUAGACCCGAAACCCGGUGAUCUAGCCAUGGGCAGGUUGAAGGUUGGGUAACACUAACUGGAGGACCGAACCGACUAAUGUUGAAAAAUUAGCGGAUGACUUGUGGCUGGGGGUGAAAGGCCAAUCAAACCGGGAGAUAGCUGGUUCUCCCCGAAAGCUAUUUAGGUAGCGCCUCGUGAAUUCAUCUCCGGGGGUAGAGCACUGUUUCGGCAAGGGGGUCAUCCCGACUUACCAACCCGAUGCAAACUGCGAAUACCGGAGAAUGUUAUCACGGGAGACACACGGCGGGUGCUAACGUCCGUCGUGAAGAGGGAAACAACCCAGACCGCCAGCUAAGGUCCCAAAGUCAUGGUUAAGUGGGAAACGAUGUGGGAAGGCCCAGACAGCCAGGAUGUUGGCUUAGAAGCAGCCAUCAUUUAAAGAAAGCGUAAUAGCUCACUGGUCGAGUCGGCCUGCGCGGAAGAUGUAACGGGGCUAAACCAUGCACCGAAGCUGCGGCAGCGACACUAUGUGUUGUUGGGUAGGGGAGCGUUCUGUAAGCCUGUGAAGGUGGCCUGUGAGGGUUGCUGGAGGUAUCAGAAGUGCGAAUGCUGACAUAAGUAACGAUAAAGCGGGUGAAAAGCCCGCUCGCCGGAAGACCAAGGGUUCCUGUCCAACGUUAAUCGGGGCAGGGUGAGUCGACCCCUAAGGCGAGGCCGAAAGGCGUAGUCGAUGGGAAACAGGUUAAUAUUCCUGUACUUGGUGUUACUGCGAAGGGGGGACGGAGAAGGCUAUGUUGGCCGGGCGACGGUUGUCCCGGUUUAAGCGUGUAGGCUGGUUUUCCAGGCAAAUCCGGAAAACCAAGGCUGAGGCGUGAUGACGAGGCACUACGGUGCUGAAGCGACAAAUGCCCUGCUUCCAGGAAAAGCCUCUAAGCAUCAGGUAACAUCAAAUCGUACCCCAAACCGACACAGGUGGUCAGGUAGAGAAUACCAAGGCGCUUGAGAGAACUCGGGUGAAGGAACUAGGCAAAAUGGUGCCGUAACUUCGGGAGAAGGCACGCUGAUAUGUAGGUGAAGCGACUUGCUCGUGGAGCUGAAAUCAGUCGAAGAUACCAGCUGGCUGCAACUGUUUAUUAAAAACACAGCACUGUGCAAACACGAAAGUGGACGUAUACGGUGUGACGCCUGCCCGGUGCCGGAAGGUUAAUUGAUGGGGUUAGCGGCAACGCGAAGCUCUUGAUCGAAGCCCCGGUAAACGGCGGCCGUAACUAUAACGGUCCUAAGGUAGCGAAAUUCCUUGUCGGGUAAGUUCCGACCUGCACGAAUGGCGUAAUGAUGGCCAGGCUGUCUCCACCCGAGACUCAGUGAAAUUGAACUCGCUGUGAAGAUGCAGUGUACCCGCGGCAAGACGGAAAGACCCCGUGAACCUUUACUAUAGCUUGACACUGAACAUUGAGCCUUGAUGUGUAGGAUAGGUGGGAGGCUUUGAAGUGUGGACGCCAGUCUGCAUGGAGCCGGCCUUGAAAUACCACCCUUUAAUGUUUGAUGUUCUAACGUGGGCCCCUUACCGGGGUUGCGGACAGUGUCUGGUGGGUAGUUUGACUGGGGCGGUCUCCUCCUAAAGAGUAACGGAGGAGCACGAAGGUUGGCUAAUCCUGGUCGGACAUCAGGAGGUUAGUGCAAUGGCAUAAGCCAGCUUGACUGCGAGCGUGACGGCGCGAGCAGGUGCGAAAGCAGGUCAUAGUGAUCCGGUGGUUCUGAAUGGAAGGGCCAUCGCUCAACGGAUAAAAGGUACUCCGGGGAUAACAGGCUGAUACCGCCCAAGAGUUCAUAUCGACGGCGGUGUUUGGCACCUCGAUGUCGGCUCAUCACAUCCUGGGGCUGAAGUAGGUCCCAAGGGUAUGGCUGUUCGCCAUUUAAAGUGGUACGCGAGCUGGGUUUAGAACGUCGUGAGACAGUUCGGUCCCUAUCUGCCGUGGGCGCUGGAGAACUGAGGGGGGCUGCUCCUAGUACGAGAGGACCGGAGUGGACGCAUCACUGGUGUUCGGGUUGUCAUGCCAAUGGCACUGCCCGGUAGCUAAAUGCGGAAGAGAUAAGUGCUGAAAGCAUCUAAGCACGAAACUUGCCCCGAGAUGAGUUCUCCCUGACCCUUUAAGGGUCCUGAAGGAACGUUGAAGACGACGACGUUGAUAGGCCGGGUGUGUAAGCGCAGCGAUGCGUUGAGCUAACCGGUACUAAUGAACCGUGAGGCUUAACCUU
This 2902-nucleotide ribosomal RNA is filed under the name Escherichia coli. Its description in RNAcentral is "23S ribosomal RNA". It matches the Rfam family "Bacterial large subunit ribosomal RNA". Lineage: Bacteria; Pseudomonadati; Pseudomonadota; Gammaproteobacteria; Enterobacterales; Enterobacteriaceae. The record is from RNAcentral.